Molecule: long non-coding RNA, 1072 nt
Organism: Canis lupus familiaris (dog)
Lineage: Eukaryota; Metazoa; Chordata; Mammalia; Carnivora; Canidae
Exons: 3
Source: RefSeq, a predicted model, not a curated record
GCAGGUGCACGGCCCCCCCGGCUCUCCCACCUGCACCCCGCGCCGGGCGCGCUCCGGGAGCCACGGCUCCAGAAGCCACGCGGAAAGAGGCUUUAAGCAGGCCGUCUAGCUGCGCGGGGCGUCUUUUGCUUUUGCUUUUUUUCCCCCUUUUUCUUUGGAAAACCACUGCCGAGCGAUCCGGUUGAUGUGAAGGUCAAAAACCAAGCGUGUGAAUCGGCUACAUGAUUGACAAAAUCGUUGGAAUCAACAAAGGACUGAAGAUGUUUCUGCAAAGUGCUGUCAUUUGCUGCCCACAGGACCCUCUGACAUUCACUCAUUCCUUCAUUUGUCAAGUAUUCAUCGAGUACCCAUCAGUUACUCCCCUAAGGAAGACAGAAGCAGGACGCCAGAGCUAAUGAAAAUAAAAAGCUGGAAAAGCUGAUGGGGGAGUAAGUGGCUACAUACCCUGAGGGCAGGAGGGAGAUGAAAGGGAGGACCUUGGGGGAAAACCUUCCGCUGGAUCUUAGUUGAAGAUUGCAUUGAAAGCAGAAGCUGCCCCAAUCCAGGGUAUGCCAUUUACACUCACAACUCUCUUCCUCCUGCCUUGGAAUAAAAAUAUCAGUGGAAAUUAUUCUGUAAAUGUGGCCAUUAUGUUUUACUUCUGCUGAUAUUGAAGUUCGUUCCUAUUCCCCGAGGACACAGGGAAAGGUAGAAGGGAGGCAGUGGUCUGGGCAGGUUGGAGACGCCUGCCUGGAAUUUAAUAUUUUCUGUAGGCAAUCUCUUCAUGGGUAAUUGAAAGUGGGCUCUUUGAAAUGCUAGUGAUUUAAUACUUUUCUUAUGAAUUAAAAAGUAGGCACAUGCUCUGCCUUUAUUCUUUAUAAAGUAGCCAUUUAAACAUCUUCCAGUGUUGGAAGUAUUUCUGGCUUCAAUAUUUCAGAACUUUGAAAAUUAAAAGGUCUAGUAUUUAGGGCAAAUAGUCCUUGUCCUGUUUCACAUAACCAGGGCUGAACCAUUAAAGUCCUGACAUUUCCUGGCACAGGCACAAAUGCUGCCAUGUUUUACAGCCACACGGAGAGUGAGGUAAUCACUAGCA